RNAcentral lists this long non-coding RNA (264 nucleotides) under Trifolium pratense (red clover). Its description in RNAcentral is "long non-coding RNA (TPRA_LNC000323)". The record is from RNAcentral. Lineage: Eukaryota; Viridiplantae; Streptophyta; Magnoliopsida; Fabales; Fabaceae.
UAUUUAUACUAGAUCAUCACAAUGGUUGAUGAUUCUCUUAGGCCUUAACCAACUAACAACUUCCUAACUGACUCUAAUACACUUUAACAACCUAGGUGAAACAAAACUAACUGAAUCUAACAAACUCUAUUAACAAACUUCACUAACAAACUAACUAACUUGCUUAAGAAGCAAUUAGUUACACCUUCACUUUUGCUAGCUUGCACACCAAGUCAGCUUAUGCACAAUAUGAAUUAACCAUCUAGAGUCCUCUUAGAUUCAACA